AAACAUUGAUAGAAUAAUACACAACCUAUCCGCCCGGGUACUACGAGCAUUAGCUUAAAACCCAAAGGACCUGGCGGUACUUUAGACCCCCCUAGAGGAGCCUGUUCUAUAACCGAUGGUCCCCGUUGAACCUCACCCUCUCUUGUUUUUCCCGCCUAUAUACCGCCGUCGUCGUUUACCCUAUGAAGGUCUUACAGUGAACAAAAUUGGCACCGCCCAAAACGUCAGGUCGAGGUGUAGCAUAUGAGAGGGGAAGAAAUGGGCUACAUUCGCUAAGACAGCGAAUACGAAUGAUGAAAUGAAAGCAUUUAUCUGAAGGAGGAUUUAGCAGUAAGCGAGGGACAGAUACUUCG
RNAcentral lists this ribosomal RNA (353 nucleotides) under Kali macrura. RNAcentral's name for it is "partial 12S ribosomal RNA". It matches the Rfam family "Bacterial small subunit ribosomal RNA", at positions 801 to 1361 of the family's 1533-position model. Lineage: Eukaryota; Metazoa; Chordata; Actinopteri; Scombriformes; Chiasmodontidae. The record is from RNAcentral.